AGGGGCGUCGCCAAGCGGUAAGGCAGCAGGUUUUGAUCCUGCCAUGCGUUGGUUCGAAUCCAGCCGCCCCUACCA
This 75-nucleotide transfer RNA is filed under the name Pseudomonas aeruginosa. RNAcentral describes it as "tRNA-Gln". It matches the Rfam family "tRNA". Rfam says of the family: Transfer RNA (tRNA) molecules are approximately 80 nucleotides in length. Their secondary structure includes four short double-helical elements and three loops (D, anti-codon, and T loops). Further hydrogen bonds mediate the characteristic L-shaped molecular structure. tRNAs have two regions of fundamental functional importance: the anti-codon, which is responsible for specific mRNA codon recognition, and the 3' end, to which the tRNAs corresponding amino acid is attached (by aminoacyl-tRNA synthetases). tRNAs cope with the degeneracy of the genetic code in two manners: having more than one tRNA (with a specific anti-codon) for a particular amino acid; and 'wobble' base-pairing, i.e. permitting non-standard base-pairing at the 3rd anti-codon position. RNAcentral also lists the same sequence under 1 other name. Lineage: Bacteria; Pseudomonadati; Pseudomonadota; Gammaproteobacteria; Pseudomonadales; Pseudomonadaceae. The record is from RNAcentral.